This 468-nucleotide ribosomal RNA is filed under the name uncultured bacterium. Its description in RNAcentral is "partial 16S ribosomal RNA". It matches the Rfam family "Bacterial small subunit ribosomal RNA", at positions 28 to 507 of the family's 1533-position model. The record is from RNAcentral.
GACGAACGCUGGCGGCGUGCUUAACACAUGCAAGUCGAACGGAAAGGCCCUGCUUUUGUGGGGUGCUCGAGUGGCGAACGGGUGAGUAACCCGUGAGUAACCUGCCCUUGACUUUGGGAUAACUUCAGGAAACUGGGGCUAAUACCGGAUAGGAGCUCCUGCUGCAUGGUGGGGGUUGGAAAGUUUCGGCGGUUGGGGAUGGACUCGCGGCUUAUCAGCUUGUUGGUGGGGUAGUGGCUUACCAAGGCUUUGACGGGUAGCCGGCCUGAGAGGGUGACCGGCCACAUUGGGACUGAGAUACGGCCCAGACUCCUACGGGAGGCAGCAGUGGGGAAUAUUGCACAAUGGGCGGAAGCCUGAUGCAGCGACGCCGCGUGCGGGAUGACGGCCUUCGGGUUGUGAACCGCUUUCGCCUGUGACGAAGCGUGAGUGACGGUAAUGGGUAAAGAAGCACCGGCUAACUACGUG